Molecule: ribosomal RNA, 406 nt
Filed under: uncultured bacterium
Lineage: Bacteria
Description: partial 16S ribosomal RNA
Rfam family: Bacterial small subunit ribosomal RNA
Source: RNAcentral
AUUGAACGCUGGCGGCAGGCCUAACACAUGCAAGUCGAGCGAGCGGCGGACGGGUGAGUAAUGUCUGGGAAACUGCCCGAUGGAGGGGGAUAACUACUGGAAACGGUAGCUAAUACCGCAUACUAUCAGAUGUGCCCAGAUGGGAUUAGCUAGUAGGUGGGGUAACGGCUCACCUAGGCGACGAUCCCUAGCUGGUCUGAGAGGAUGACCAGCCACACUGGAACUGAGACACGGUCCAGACUCCUACGGGAGGCAGCAGUGGGGAAUAUUGCACAAUGGGCGCAAGCCUGAUGCAGCCAUGCCGCGUGUAUGAAGAAGGCCUUAGGGUUGUAAAGUACUUUCAGCCGGGAGGCGUUACCCACAGAAGAAGCACCGGCUAACUCCGUGCCAGCCGCCGCGGUAAUAC